Molecule: ribosomal RNA, 239 nt
Filed under: uncultured bacterium
Lineage: Bacteria
Description: partial 16S ribosomal RNA
Rfam family: Bacterial small subunit ribosomal RNA
Source: RNAcentral
AGUGGCGGACGGGUGAGUAACGCGUGGGUAACCUGCCUCAUACAGGGGAUAACAGUUAGAAAUGACUGCUAAUACCGCAUAAGACCACAGCACCGCAUGGUGCAGGGGUAAAAACUCCGGUGGUAUGAGAUGGACCCGCGUCUGAUUAGGUAGUUGGUGGGGUAACGGCCUACCAAGCCGACGAUCAGUAGCCGACCUGAGAGGGUGACCGGCCACAUUGGGACUGAGACACGGUCCAA